GGUGGCUCAGUGGUAGAGCGCCUGCCUUGCAUCCAUGAGGCCCUGGGUUCGAUUCCUCAGCACCA
This 65-nucleotide transfer RNA is filed under the name Dipodomys ordii (Ord's kangaroo rat). It matches the Rfam family "tRNA". Rfam says of the family: Transfer RNA (tRNA) molecules are approximately 80 nucleotides in length. The record is from Rfam by way of RNAcentral. Lineage: Eukaryota; Metazoa; Chordata; Mammalia; Rodentia; Heteromyidae.